GCCAAAAACUCAGCUCUACUCGCCCAAAUGCUCACCCCAUAUAAUUUUCACCAAACAAAACAUUUUCCCCAUUUAGUAAAGGCGAUUAAAAAAUGUUUAGAAGCUAUAGAAUCUAGUACCGCAAGGGAAAAGUGAAAUAAAAAUGAAAUAUUAUAAAGCACAAAACAGCAGAGAUUUUACCUCGUACCUUUUGCAUCAUGGUUUAACUAGUCCAACCAAGCGCAACGCACUUUAAGUUUGACACCCCGAAACUAGGUGAGCUACUUAAAAACAGCCUUCAGGGCCAACCCGUCUCUGUUGCAAAAGAGUGGGAAGAUUUUUUAGUAGAGGUGACAGACCUACCGAGCCUAGAGAUAGCUGGUUAUUCAAGAAAAGGAUUUAAGUCCUACCUUAGGUUUCACGUACAUUUUAAUACACAACAAAUCUUAAGAGCCAUUCAAAUAAGGUACAGCCUAUUUGAAACAGGAUACAACCUCACCCAAUGGGUAACUAAUUUUAUAACCAACCAAGUGGGCCUAAAAGCAGCCACCUUACGAAAAGCGUUAAAGCUUCAUUGUAUUAACCAAAAAUUCCACCAACCAAUCACAACCCUUAUUCUUAUAUUGAAUGACUUCAUAAUAUUAUGAAGAACUAUAUGUUAAAACUAGUAACAAGAAGAAGCCCUUCUCCAAAAUGUAAGCUUGAGCCAUAAUGAACAAAUCACUGGCAUUUAAAGUCCAUAAUCCACUAUUAGCAACUCUAACCUAGAAAACCCUACUUAUUGAUACGUCAACCUUACACUAGCACAUUUAUGGAAAGACUAAAAGAAUAGGAAGGAACUCGGCAAAUAACUAACCCCGCCUGUUUACCAAAAACAUCGCCUUCUGAUACUCAUAGAAGGUCCAGCCUGCCCAGUGACUAAGUUAAACGGCCGCGGUACCCUAACCGUGCAAAGGUAGCGCAAUCACUUGUUCUUUAAAUGAGGACUAGUAUGAACGGCAUCACGAGGGUUAUACUGUCUCCCUAUUCCAUUCAGUGAAACUGAUCUUCCCGUGAAGAAGCGGGAAUAUAAAUAUAAGACGAGAAGACCCCAUGGAGCUUUAAACUCAGUGUCAUCUGCCACUUCAAUAUCCUCUUAACCACGCAGACAUGAUAACUAGUUUUCGGUUGGGGUGACCGCGGAGUAAAACAAAACCUCCACAACGAAAGGAACUAACAACCUAAUCCAAGAGCAACAUCUCUAAGAAUCAACAAAUUGACUUAAUUGAUCCAAUUACUUGAUCAACGAACCAAGUUACCCUGGGGAUAACAGCGCAAUCCAUUUCAAGAGCUCAUAUCGACAAAUGGGUUUACGACCUCGAUGUUGGAUCAGGGUAUCCCAGUGGCGCA
RNAcentral lists this ribosomal RNA (1368 nucleotides) under Microhyla ornata (ornate rice frog). RNAcentral's name for it is "partial 16S rRNA". It matches the Rfam family "Bacterial large subunit ribosomal RNA", at positions 267 to 2557 of the family's 2925-position model. The record is from RNAcentral. Lineage: Eukaryota; Metazoa; Chordata; Amphibia; Anura; Microhylidae.